This 116-nucleotide non-coding RNA is filed under the name chicken gut metagenome. RNAcentral's name for it is "FMN riboswitch (RFN element)". It matches the Rfam family "FMN riboswitch aptamer (RFN element)". From Rfam's summary of the family: The RFN element is a highly conserved domain that is found frequently in the 5'-untranslated regions of prokaryotic mRNAs that encode for flavin mononucleotide (FMN) biosynthesis and transport proteins. The record is from RNAcentral.
GUUUCAGGGCGGGGUGCAAGUCCCCACCGGCGGUAUAGCCCGCGACCACAUCCAGCGAUGGGUGUGCUGAUCUGGUGAAAGUCCAGAGCCGACGGUAAUAGUCCGGAUGAAAGAAA